UACGGAGGAUCCAAGCGUUAUCCGGAUUUAUUGGGUUUAAAGGGUGCGUAGGCGGUCUUCUAAGUCAGUUGUGAAAUACUUCAGCUUAACUGGAGAGGUGCAAUUGAUACUGGAAGACUUGAGUACUGAUGAGGUAGGCGGAAUGGACGGUGUAGCGGUGAAAUGCUUAGAUAUCGUCCAGAACACCGAUAGCGAAGGCAGCUUACUAAGGAGUAACUGACGCUGAGGCACGAAAGUGUGGGGAUCAAACAGG
This 253-nucleotide ribosomal RNA is filed under the name uncultured bacterium. RNAcentral describes it as "partial 16S ribosomal RNA". It matches the Rfam family "Bacterial small subunit ribosomal RNA", at positions 524 to 776 of the family's 1533-position model. The record is from RNAcentral.